UUUGUUCUUAAAUUCUAAGUUUGACUUUACCUUUAAAAAAGUAUUUCUUUGGUAUGAUUUAGUAUGUAUUAACCCUUCCACUCCCUCAAGUCUAAAACUUUUCAAAAGAAUUUUUGGCCGGGCACGGUGGUUCAAGCCUGUAAUCCCAGCACUUUGGGAGGCCGAGACGGGCGGAUCACAAGGUCAGGAGAUCGAGACCAUCCUGGCUAACACGGUGAAACCCCGUCUCUACUAAAAAAAAUAAAAAAACUAGCCGGGCGAGGUGGUGGGCGCCUGUAGUCCCAGCUACUCGGGAGGCUGAGGCAGGAGAAUGGCGUGAACCCGGGAGGUGGAGCUUGCAGUGAGCUGAGAUCUGGCCACUGCACUCCAGCCUGGGCGACAGAGCGAGACUCUGUCUUAAAAAAGAAAAGAAAAAAAAAAAAGAAUUUUUAAUAAUACCUGAGUAAAUUGGUGUUAUUAGAAAUACCAUAGUCGGUAUUUCUUGGGCUGAAUGUUAUGAAUGAUUGUGUUCUACCCAGACAUCAAGAAUUAGAUGUGAAUUCUCUCAUAUGGUAGCAGUUUAUCAUGUUUAUUGUUCCCUCUUACUGUUGUAUAUUUUCUCUCUGGACAAAUUGUGCAGUUUGUCAUAUGAAUGCUAAGUAUUAGGUUUACAUAAAAGAAUAUUUUGAUGAGAAGGAUGCAGUUAUUAUAUUAGAUUGCUCAGAUUGGACAUUGCUCCAUUAACUGUAUUUUUCAGGUAAUUCUGUAGUUACUGGAGGUAGUAGAAGGCACACACAUCAUGCCAUUUCCCUCAAGUACUUGGAUAACUGAGAAAGAAAUGGCAGAAAAUUGUGAGUGGUAUUUCCAGCUCCUAACAGAAUCAUUCAUGUGGAAAGUUCCUUGGCUCAACAUCAAGUCAUUAAAUAAAAAGCAAACACACCUUUUACCUAGCUCAAGUAUAUUUGUUUUUCAUUGUUUCUAUUUUUUUCUCUUGGUUAAUAGCACCCCAUUUUUUCUGUGCUUGAAACUUGGUCGUCAUUUCUGACCCUUACCUAUUCAUUAUGCCCUUUGUUAGUAACGUACGACUCACGACUGUAGAAUGGGGUUUACUAUUUGGAGGGAGUGUGUGUGCUAUGGAGACAGUCGUUCCAUCCUCACAGAAUUCUAUGAGUGGACUCAAGCAGCGAGAGACGGGAUUGUCACCUUAAGGGAGAUGAGGUUCAGAAGGCCUAAAUCCUGUCAGUACAGCCUCAAGCCUGUGCCUUAAAGAUUUGUUCUUUCUCGUUUAUUUCAUUUACACCAAUUCAAGUUCAAGGUACUAAUUACCACAUCUAAUUCAUUGCCCCAUCGACAGUGUCUCGCUACUCUGUCAUGUUUGAAACCAGCAGAUUAAUCUUGUUACAGUGACUUUUUUGUGUAUAAUAUUCUCUGUUUCCCUAUGUUUCAAAUUAAUAGUUCUUAAGGUACUGUGUCAUCUGGUCCCACGUUAUCUGUCUCUUUUACUUUCCACAUUUUUCUCCCUUCUGUCCCUAAUCCGAAUUAGAACCAUCUUGCCAGUCUUAGGCCAUGUCUUGGGUUAGUUUUUAAUCAUUCUAGACCACAUUAACUGAUCUGAACUCCUAUUAUAGUAAUUGUAUUCCACAGUGUAGUACUUUAUUAUGGACAGAAAUGCACACUUAUCUAGAAGUUGCCUAUUCAGCAGUUUCAAGAACUUGUAAUUAACCAGAGGAGGCAGUUACGUAGACAUAAAAUACAAAGCCAUGUUCUCAGGCAGCCGGGAUGAGUGUUCCAGAGUCCACGGGUUUUCCUCCCAGUGCUGGGCUGUAGACACUUGGACAUGUGCGUAAUCAUUGAUGUGGAUGUGUGGGCGACAGUGCAGCGUUUUGCUAUUUUAAUGUAUUUAGUUAAUGGAUUUCCAGCCCUCAGCCAGUUGGAGGUAGCAAAUUAGGAAUAAGAAAGAGAUAACAGGCCAGGCAUGGUGGCUCAUACCUGUAAUUCUAACAGUUUGGUAGGAUAAGGUAGGGGGAUUGCUUGAGCCCAGGAGUUCAAGACAGCCAGGGAGACCCUGUCUCUACACACACACACACACACACACACACACACACACACACACACAGCAUGGCUAUAGUCCCAGCUACUUGGGAGGCUUAGGCAGGAGGAUCACUUGGGCCUAGGAGGUGGAGGCUACAGUGACAGAGUGAGAACCUAUCUCACAAAAGGAAAAACAGAAGAGAGAUAGCAUCUAUUAGUUUUGAUUUUUGUCAAACUGUGAUUGUUGAUAAGCUUUAUAAAUAGGUCAAUCUGUGGUGACUUAAUUUUGGGCUAAGAUCUUGUUCUGCUACAGUACAGCAACUAUGUGAUAAAUUAAAUGACUAUUGAAAACGAUGUAUUUAGUUUGAAUAUGGUUGAGUCUCACAAAUUGUUGGGGAAUCUUGGUCAGGUCGUUUCACAUGAGAGAAUGGUCAGGAGCCUUCUCAGUGGUAGGUGUGCUGCUUGGUGGUGUAGGCCAUAUGUGGAUAAUCUCCCUGCUUAAAACUUAGUAGAAAAACAAAAGAAAUACUUGGAUAACUGUAAAAUAACUUGAUUGAAGCAGAAUCCUAGUCAUUGAAUCAUGUAGCACCUGCUGAAAGAAGUUCUCAAGUUCUGAUUGAGUUCUAAACAUUUUUGACUAUUGGAAUUCAUCAUGUGUGAGUAAAAACAUAAUUUCUGAUGAUCUAUUUCUAGUCCAUCGCAUAAGAAAGUAUUUAACCUGGACCAGGCAUGAUGGCUCACUCCUGUAAUUGCAGCACCUUGGGAGGCGGAGGCAUGAGGGUUGAUUGAUGCCAGGAGUUUGAGAGCAGCCU
RNAcentral lists this long non-coding RNA (2822 nucleotides) under Macaca mulatta (Rhesus monkey). RNAcentral's name for it is "lncRNA (ENSMMUG00000049972.1)". The record is from RNAcentral. Lineage: Eukaryota; Metazoa; Chordata; Mammalia; Primates; Cercopithecidae.